AACCUGGUUGAUCCUGCCAGUAGUCAUAUGCUUGUCUCAAAGACUAAGGCAUGCAUGUGCUAAGUAUAAGUAUUAUACAGCGAAACUGCGAAUGGCUCAUUAAAACAGUAAUAGUUUAUUUGACAAUCUCACUUAUAUGGAUACCCGUAGUAAUUCUAGAGCUAAUACAUGCUGGACUCCCGACUUUUUGGAAGGGAGGUAUUUAUUAGAUAAUAACCAAUAUUCCGUAGGUCUAUCGUGGUGAAUCAUAAUAACUGAUCGAAUCGCACAGCCUUUGGCUGCGAUAAGUCAUUCAAGUUUCUGCCCCAUCAGCUGUCGAUGGUAGUGUAUUGGACUACCAUGGCAAUAACGGGUAACGGAGGAUUAGGGUUCGAUUCCGGAGAGGGAGCCUGAGAAACGGCUACCACAUCUAAGGAUGGCAGCAGGCGCGUAAAUUACCCAAUUCUGAUUCAGAGAGGUAGUGACAAGAAAUAACAGACCGAUACUAUGUAACGGGGUUGCAAUGAGCCGAAUUUUUCUUCCCUUGGUGAGGAGCAAUUGGAGGGCAAGUCUGGUGCCAGCAGCCGCGGUAAUUCCAGCUCCAAUAGC
RNAcentral lists this ribosomal RNA (588 nucleotides) under uncultured marine eukaryote. RNAcentral describes it as "SSU rRNA". It matches the Rfam family "Eukaryotic small subunit ribosomal RNA", at positions 1 to 598 of the family's 1831-position model. The record is from RNAcentral.